RNAcentral lists this ribosomal RNA (311 nucleotides) under uncultured bacterium. Its description in RNAcentral is "bacterial SSU rRNA". It matches the Rfam family "Bacterial small subunit ribosomal RNA", at positions 505 to 796 of the family's 1533-position model. The record is from RNAcentral.
GUGUCAGCAGCCGCGGUAAUACAGAGGGCGCGAGCGUUGUCCGGAAUCACUGGGCGUAAAGGGCGCGUAGGUGGCGGCAUAAGGCUGUGGUGAAAGUCUGGGGCUCAACUCCAGAUCGGCCGCGGCGACUGUGUCGCUUGGGCACCGUAGAGGCAGAUGGAAUUCCGGGUGUAGCGGUGGAAUGCGUAGAGAUCCGGAAGAACACCAGUGGCGAAGGCGGUCUGCUGGGCGGUGAGCUCGCGAGAGCUCAAUAGCCGACACUGAGGCGCGACAGCGUGGGGAGCAAACAGGAUUAGAAACCCGGGUAGUCC